GAUGAAGAACGCAGCGAAAUGCGAUAAGUAGUGUGAAUUGCAGAAUUCAGAGAAUCAUCGAAUCUUUGAACGCACAUUGCGCCCUUUGGUAUUCCAAAGGGCAUGCCUGUUCGAGCGUCAUUUGUACCCUCAAGCUUUGCUUGGUGUUGGGCGUCUUGUCUCUAGCUUUGCUGGAGACUCGCCUUAAAGUAAUUGGCAGCCGGCCUACUGGUUUCGGAGCGCAGCACAAGUCGCACUCUCUAUCAGCAAAGGUCUAGCAUCCAUUAAGCCUUUUUUUCAACUUUUGACCUCGGAUCAGGUAGGGAUACCCGCUGAACUUAAGCAUAUCAAUAAGCGGAGGA
Molecule: unclassified non-coding RNA, 341 nt
Filed under: soil metagenome
Description: partial contains 5.8S ribosomal RNA, internal transcribed spacer 2, and large subunit ribosomal RNA
Rfam family: 5.8S ribosomal RNA (bases 1-120)
Source: RNAcentral